RNAcentral lists this ribosomal RNA (253 nucleotides) under uncultured bacterium. RNAcentral's name for it is "partial 16S ribosomal RNA". It matches the Rfam family "Bacterial small subunit ribosomal RNA", at positions 524 to 776 of the family's 1533-position model. The record is from RNAcentral.
UACAGAGGGGGCAAGCGUUAUUCGGAAUUAUUGGGCGUAAAGGGCGCGUAGGUGGCAAAGCAAGUGGAAGGUGAAAUCCCUCGGCUCAACUGAGGAACUGCCUUCCAGACUGCUGUGCUUGAGGCCGGGAGAGGCGAGUGGAAUUCCCAGUGUAGCGGUGAAAUGCGUAGAUAUUGGGAGGAACACCAGUGGCGAAGGCGACUCGCUGGACCGGUUCUGACGCUGAGGCGCGAAGGCCAGGGGAGCAAACGGG